Molecule: ribosomal RNA, 253 nt
Filed under: uncultured prokaryote
Description: partial 16S ribosomal RNA
Rfam family: Bacterial small subunit ribosomal RNA
Source: RNAcentral
UACGAGGGGAGCAAGCGUUGUUCGGAUUUACUGGGCGUAAAGGGCGCGUAGGCGGCGUGACAAGUCACUUGUGAAAUCUCCGGGCUUAACUCGGAACGGUCAAGUGAAACUGUCGUGCUAGAGUACAGAAGGGGCAACUGGAAUUCUCGGUGUAGCGGUGAAAUGCGUAGAGAUUAGGAAGAACACCAGUGGCGAAGGCGAUUCUCUGGACUGUAACUGACGCUGAGGCUCGAAAGCGUGGGGAGCAAACAGG